GCGAGCUGCGGGCCAGCGGCGGGGGUAAGACGUAGGGUGGAAGGGUUGUCCGGAUUUAUUGGGCGUAAAGAGUUCGUAGGCGGUUUACCAAGGCUGAUGUUAAAGACCAGAGCUCAACUCUGGCACGACAUUGGAAACUGGUAGGCUAGAGGCUGGUAGAGGCAAGGGGAAUUCUCGGUGUAGCGGUGAAAUGCGUAGAUAUCGGGAGGAACACCAGUGGCGAAAGCGCCUUGCUGGGCCAGUACUGACGCUGAGGAACGAAAGCCAGGGGAGCGAAAGGGAUUAGAUACCCUAGUAGUC
RNAcentral lists this ribosomal RNA (300 nucleotides) under uncultured Lactobacillus sp. RNAcentral's name for it is "bacterial SSU rRNA". It matches the Rfam family "Bacterial small subunit ribosomal RNA", at positions 496 to 795 of the family's 1533-position model. The record is from RNAcentral. Lineage: Bacteria; Bacillati; Bacillota; Bacilli; Lactobacillales; Lactobacillaceae.